This 316-nucleotide ribosomal RNA is filed under the name uncultured Vibrio sp. RNAcentral describes it as "bacterial SSU rRNA". It matches the Rfam family "Bacterial small subunit ribosomal RNA", at positions 54 to 353 of the family's 1533-position model. The record is from RNAcentral. Lineage: Bacteria; Pseudomonadati; Pseudomonadota; Gammaproteobacteria; Vibrionales; Vibrionaceae.
GCUACCAUGCAGUCGAGCGGAACGACACUAACAAUCCUUCAGGUGCGUUAAUGGGCGUCGAGCGGCGGACGGGUGAGUAAUGCCUAGGAAAUUGCCUUGGUGUGGGGGAUAACCAUUGGAAACGAUGGCUAAUACCGCAUGAUGCCUACGGGCCAAAGAGGGGGACCUUCGGGCCUCUCGCGUCAAGAUAUGCCUAGGUGGGAUUAGCUAGUUGGUGAGGUAAUGGCUCACCAAGGCGACUAUCCCUAGCUGGUCUGAGAGGAUGAUCAGCCACACUGGAACUGAGACACGGUCCAGACUCCUACAGGAGGCAGCA